AUGAAAGCGUGGCUGGCAGGGUAUUCGAUUGAACUCCAGGCUCUCCAGUCACUGUGUACCCUGACUAUAGAACUUGAGCUGUGUGCUACAAUCUAUCCUCUGUUGGGGAGUUCACAUGAAUUCAACUUAAAGAAAACCCACUUAUUGGAAUAUUUGGAAAACAUGGAAAAGUGUAAAAAUGAAAAUAAAAAUUACCUAUAAUUGGAUAAAUCAGAGAUAAAUGCAGACAACAUUUUGGUAUGUAUCCUUCUUAUUCUUCUAUUCUUUUUUCUUUGUAAAGUAAUUAAAGGAAAAAUAAGAAAUACAGAUAAGAAUUUCCCAAGUCAUUACAUCGUCUAUGAGAAAUAGAUUUUAUUAUUUUAUUUUUUUAAGAUUUAUUUAUUAGAGAGAGAGUGCAGGUGCAGGCACAAACAUGCAAGUGUGUUGGAGGGGAGGGGCAGAAGGAGAGGGAGAGAAACUCAAGCAGAUUCUGGGCUGAGCCCUGAACCUGACCAUGCUCCAUCUCCAUAAGGAAGCUAAGCACAAGAGAUCAGACCUGAGCCAAAACCAAGAGUCUGUAGCUUUAACUGACUAUGCCACCCAGGGGCCCCUGAAAAUCAGAUUUUGAAUGAUGGUAGAUGAAUCCCAUCCUAUGGGUACAUGGGUAUAUCAUAUUUAAUUAACAAAUCACCUGAUGUAAUUCCAAUUUUUACUUCUAUAGAAUGAGUAUCCUUAAAGGAUAUAGCUUUUCAUUUCCUUUCAGCACCUGAAUCCUCUUUCUAGCUGGAGGGACCCCCUUACACACACACACACCCCACAGAAGCUGAAAGAUAUGGCUAUACUUGCUUCCCAGCCUCCUUUGCAACUAGCACGAGGGCUCUCCUCCACCUUGAAUAGAAGGCUGGCACACUGAGGGAGACGGGCUAUGCAGAGUUCACGUGCUGAGAAGGGUGGCAGCUAGUUCCCCUUGUGGGCAGUGGCAGUGGUGCCAGCAGCAGCCUUGGCGAUGUCACUGAAUUAGAAAAGGUGACUAUUUCAAGUCUCUUUAUCCUUAUUUAGAUAUGCCCUCUGAAAGGCCGGCGAACUUACACUCCUGCAGUCAUGAGCAUACCCAGUCUCAGUCCCUUGUUUCUAAAAUGCAUUUCCAUAAGACACAUUACUCCAAAAGCUACUGCUAAAUAGGGAAGGGAGGUCAUGAGCAAUUUCAGCACAGUGGUCAACAGGUAACAGAAAGUGAGUGCAAGUUACAGGAACAGGGUGAGAGGGCGCAAGCCCCAGAAUUCAGUGCUGGGAUGGGGUCUGUUCACCUCCUGGCUUCCGCUGGCAUCAGUCUGGCCACAGAUGCUGCCUUUGAAGUGCAUAGGACUUGGUUCUCCCACAGUACUUUGUGGAUUUGGUCCUUAUCUCUGUGACUGGACAGUCUAACCCUUCCUUACACAGCCUUUCAUUAAGCUAGCUUUCACUUUUUUUAAUAAUAGAAUCCUGUAUUUACGGUGGUGCGCUUGUUUUUGUUUUUUUUUGUUUGUUUGUUUUUUGUUUUUGUUUUUUUUUUUUUACUUGUGCAGCCUUUUGUUUAUUUGUUUCAUUAGAACUGUUAUUGUUUUGUUACUGCCGUGGUUACAUUGCACAGAUUUUACAUGCCCUUCUCCAAUGUGAUUUUUUUCUGUGAGCUCUGUUGUUUUUGGAAUACAGUUCGGCA
RNAcentral lists this long non-coding RNA (1678 nucleotides) under Canis lupus familiaris (dog). RNAcentral's name for it is "lncRNA (ENSCAFG00040022319.1)". Lineage: Eukaryota; Metazoa; Chordata; Mammalia; Carnivora; Canidae. The record is from RNAcentral.